RNAcentral lists this ribosomal RNA (450 nucleotides) under uncultured bacterium. RNAcentral describes it as "partial 16S ribosomal RNA". It matches the Rfam family "Bacterial small subunit ribosomal RNA", at positions 354 to 796 of the family's 1533-position model. The record is from RNAcentral.
GUGGGGAAUAUUGGACAAUGGGCGCAAGCCUGAUCCAGCCAUACCGCGUGGGUGAAGAAGGCCUUCGGGUUGUAAAGCCCUUUUGUUGGGAAAGAAAUCCUGUCGGUUAAUACCUGGCGGGGAUGACGGUACCCAAAGAAUAAGCACCGGCUAACUUCGUGCCAGCAGCCGCGGUAAUACGAAGGGUGCAAGCGUUACUCGGAAUUACUGGGCGUAAAGCGUGCGUAGGUGGUGGUUUAAGUCCGUUGUGAAAGCCCUGGGCUCAACCUGUGAAUUGCAGUGGAUACUGGAUCACUAGAGUGUGGUAGAGGGAUGCGGAAUUUCUGGUGUAGCAGUGAAAUGCGUAGAGAUCAGAAGGAACAUCCGUGGCGAAGGCGGCAUCCUGGGCCAACACUGACACUGAGGCACGAAAGCGUGGGGAGCAAACAGGAUUAGAUACCCUUGUAGUCC